RNAcentral lists this long non-coding RNA (947 nucleotides) under Homo sapiens (human). RNAcentral describes it as "HSALNT0108674". Lineage: Eukaryota; Metazoa; Chordata; Mammalia; Primates; Hominidae. The record is from RNAcentral.
AAAUAUAGCACCCGCGAGCUCAGCUCCUCAACAUAGCCAUUGCUCUGACAGUGUUGUGAAGGGAGCAGAAGAGGAGAAACCUAAUCUCCGAACCCAACAACACCUAGCAACAGUAGAAAAAACUUUUAAACAAAAGUCUGGGUGGGAGAUAUACAACAACUUCCAAUUUCUGCUGAUCGGGAUUUCAGGGAGAAGAAGCUGCUUUCCCUCCUCUCUACUCUGUUUCCUGCAUGACUUCAGCUAUUGGCUGGUCCUGGGAAAGAAAGUGGGAAAAGCUUUUUCCUCUGUAUUCUUUUGGGCUGGAUAGUUUUUGAGAACUCGAAUCUGUCUUGGGCUGUGAGACAAGCCACUGGGUUCUUCAAAGGAUAAACUACCUACAUAGAGGACAUACCUUUGGUUAAAGGAGCUGCCGUCAGGAAAAUAAUACAUGCAAAUAAGAAAAAGUAACAAAGAAAAUAUUGGAUAAAGAAAGAAUAUUUUUGGGAAUACGAUGUCUCACGCCUGUAAUCCCAACACUUUGGGAGGCCGACCCGCGCGGAUCACGAGGUCAAGAGAUCGAGACCAUCCUGGCCAACAUGGUGAAACCCCGUCUCUACUAAAAAUACAAAAAUUAGCUGGGCGUGGUGGCAUGUGCCUGUAAUCCCAGUUACUCAGGAUGCUGAGGCAGGAGAAUCAUUUGAGCCCAGGAGGGGGAGGUUGCAGUGAGCUGAGGUCGUGCCACCACACUGCAGCCUGGCAACAGAGCAAGAUCAGUCUCAAAAAAAAAAAAAAGAAAAGAAAAAAGAAUACUCUUUUGUAUGAGUGUAUGUGAAAUAUUAAAAAUAUUAAAUGAAACACACUUUUAUUGAAAACUUAUUUGUUCUUUAUCUGAGAUUCCAACUUAACUGAGCAUCCUGUAUAUUUAUUUGCUAAAUGUGACAAAUAAAUAUAUCUUGCAAUAUAUGCUA